GAUAAACGCUGGCGGCGUGCAUAACACAUGCAAGUCGAACGAUGAAACUUAGCUGAUUUCUUCGGAAUGAAAUUAAGUGGAUUAGUGGCGAACGGGUGAGUAACACGUGAGUAACCUGCCUUACACAAGGGGAUAGCCUUUGGAAACGAAGAAUAAUACCCUAUAAAGUUAGUCAAUCGCAUGGUAGACUAACCAAAGAUUUAUCGGUGUAAGAUGGACUUGCGUCUGAUUAGCUAGUUGGUGAGAUAAA
RNAcentral lists this ribosomal RNA (250 nucleotides) under uncultured bacterium. Its description in RNAcentral is "partial 16S ribosomal RNA". It matches the Rfam family "Bacterial small subunit ribosomal RNA", at positions 28 to 261 of the family's 1533-position model. The record is from RNAcentral.